UCGAACGGAAAGGCCCUGCUUGCAGGGUACUCGAGUGGCGAACGGGUGAGUAACACGUGGGUGAUCUGCCCUGCACUUCGGGAUAAGCCUGGGAAACUGGGUCUAAUACCGGAUAGGAGCCAUUUUUAGUGUGAUGGUUGGAAAGUUUUUUCGGUGUAGGAUGAGCUCGCGGCCUAUCAGCUUGUUGGUGGGGUAAUGGCCUACCAAGGCGGCGACGGGUAGCCGGCCUGAGAGGGUGGACGGCCACAUUGGGACUGAGAUACGGCCCAGACUCCUACGGGAGGCAGCAGAAGGG
This 295-nucleotide ribosomal RNA is filed under the name uncultured Corynebacteriaceae bacterium. Its description in RNAcentral is "partial 16S ribosomal RNA". It matches the Rfam family "Bacterial small subunit ribosomal RNA", at positions 62 to 359 of the family's 1533-position model. The record is from RNAcentral. Lineage: Bacteria; Bacillati; Actinomycetota; Actinomycetes; Mycobacteriales; Corynebacteriaceae.